AGGCUGCCUGGGUCUGAAAGGGACCUGGCCACUUAGGGGGAUCAGUGAAUCAGUUAAGUAAUGCAGGGGGCCACAAAGGAAGCCCACUGGGUCAUGUGCUUGACGGGGAGGGCUGCAGACAAGCCUGGCCCUCUGGCUGCAGCAUGGAAGUGUGGCCCUGCUUCAGGCCCUAAUGGGCCCGGGAAGGUCAGGAGCUGCCGUCUUUGGAGGAAUGGUGUUUGUGUUGGCAUCCAUGGGCCCUGUAGCCCUGCCAACUCUCACAGCAUGUGACACUGUCAGGAGACUGGAGGUGUGAGGCAGAAGUCAGCUGGAGAGGCUCCUGCGGCCGGCCGGCCGCCUGCUUCCAGGCGCUGCUUCACUCCUUGGAUGCACUUGCCCUAAAGGUUGACCGAUAGCUGCUGAUGCAAGCGCCAGAGAUCUUGUCCUGAGGUGAUGUGCUCGGAGGCUGCAGAGAACCCGUCUGUCUGUCUAGGUCCGUCUUUAAGAUUAAGGAAACUUUCCCCAGAAGUGUUCCCAGAACUUGCUUCUGGGUCUCAUCGGCCAAAGUUCAGCCACACACUCAUUCCUGUAACUCCUAGUCGGGGUAACGUAGGUUCUUUGCCUAGCAGGUAUCAUGGUGCACAUCUGGAAUCCCAGAAUUCAGGAGGCAGAGGAAAGAGGAUUGCUAGCUCAAGGCCAGCCUGGGCUACAGCGAGACGCCUCCUAAAACAAAAACAAGCCAGGUGGUGGAGAGGUAGCUUGUGUUUUCUUCAGUUCUUCGAUCCUGAUGGAAUUUAUUUCCAUGCUAAGAGUGAGCUGAUCCUGUGCGGACUCUGGGCUCCAGCCAUUUUAAUUACUCUUGCUGUGCAGUGUUCUGCAGAAUGUCUGCCAGACCUACCCUUCCGUGCUUAGUGUGCUUUGCUUUUCUCUGGAAUUUUUCUGUCUAUUCUUUUAUAUAUGUCCCCCCACCCCCAAUUAAAAUUGUCAUCAUCCCAUGGC
Molecule: long non-coding RNA, 978 nt
Filed under: Mus musculus (house mouse)
Lineage: Eukaryota; Metazoa; Chordata; Mammalia; Rodentia; Muridae
Description: RIKEN cDNA F630040K05 gene
Source: RNAcentral